UUUAUUAAAAACAUGGCCUUUUGAUUAUGAUUUAAGGUCAGACCUGCCCACUGAAGAUUUAAAUGGCUGCAGUAUUUUGACUGUACAAAGGUAGCAUAAUCAUUUGUUUUUUAAUUGAAAGCUUGUAUGAAAGGUUCGAUGAGAAAAUAACUGUCUCUGAAAGAAUUAAUUAGAAUUUUAUUUUUAAGUUAAAAAGCUUAAAUGYUUAUAGAAGACGAGAAGACCCUAUAGAGUUUUAUAUUAAAAAGAAGUUGAUUGGUUUAGUAUUAUUUAAUUGAUUUAUUUUUAUUAUUUGAUUGGGGUGAUUGAAAAAUUAAAAGAACUUUUUUUAUAUUUUUACAUUGAUAUAUGAGAAUUUGAUCCUUUUUUAAAGAUUAGAAGAGUAAAUUACCUUAGGGAUAACAGCGUAAUUUUUUUUUAGAGUUCUAAUCGAAAAAGAAGGUUGCGACCUCGAUGUUGGAUUAAAGAAAAGUCUUGGUGUAGGAGCUUARAUAUUAGGUCUGUUCGACCUUUAAAUCUUUACAUGAUCUGAGUUUAAACCGGCGUGAGCCAGGUC
RNAcentral lists this ribosomal RNA (556 nucleotides) under Acallocrates denticollis. RNAcentral's name for it is "partial 16S ribosomal RNA". It matches the Rfam family "Bacterial large subunit ribosomal RNA", at positions 1803 to 2632 of the family's 2925-position model. Lineage: Eukaryota; Metazoa; Arthropoda; Insecta; Coleoptera; Curculionidae. The record is from RNAcentral.